This 502-nucleotide ribosomal RNA is filed under the name Phoma sp. CAO4a. RNAcentral describes it as "eukaryotic LSU rRNA". The stretch from base 152 to 305 matches the Rfam family "5.8S ribosomal RNA". The record is from RNAcentral. Lineage: Eukaryota; Fungi; Ascomycota; Dothideomycetes; Pleosporales; Didymellaceae. RNAcentral also lists the same sequence under 2 other names.
AAGGAUCAUUACCUAGAGUUGUAGGCUUUGCCUACCAUCUCUUACCCAUGUCUUUUGAGUACCUUCGUUUCCUCGGCGGGUCCGCCCGCCGAUUGGACAAACUUAAACCCUUUGUAAUUGAAAUCAGCGUCUGAAAAAACAUAAUAGUUACAACUUUCAACAACGGAUCUCUUGGUUCUGGCAUCGAUGAAGAACGCAGCGAAAUGCGAUAAGUAGUGUGAAUUGCAGAAUUCAGUGAAUCAUCGAAUCUUUGAACGCACAUUGCGCCCCUUGGUAUUCCAUGGGGCAUGCCUGUUCGAGCGUCAUUUGUACCUUCAAGCUCUGCUUGGUGUUGGGUGUUUGUCUCGCCUCUGCGUGUAGACUCGCCUUAAAACAAUUGGCAGCCGGCGUAUUGAUUUCGGAGCGCAGUACAUCUCGCGCUUUGCACUCAUAACGACGACGUCCAAAAAGUACUUUUUACACUCUUGACCUCGGAUCAGGUAGGGAUACCCGCUGAACUUAA